CCUACGGGCGGCAGCAGUGGGGAAUAUUGGACAAUGGGCGAAAGCCUGAUCCAGCCAUGCCGCGUGUGUGAAGAAGGCCUUCGGGUUGUAAAGCACUUUCAGUGGGGAAGAAAGCCUUGGGGCUAAUACCCUCGAGGAAGGACAUCACCCACAGAAGAAGCACCGGCUAACUCCGUGCCAGCAGCCGCGGUAAUACGGAGGGUGCGAGCGUUAAUCGGAAUUACUGGGCGUAAAGCGCGCGUAGGCGGUCUGAUAAGCCGGUUGUGAAAGCCCCGGGCUCAACCUGGGAACGGCAUCCGGAACUGUCAGGCUAGAGUGCAGUAGAGGAAGGUAGAAUUCCCGGUGUAGCGGUGAAAUGCGUAGAGAUCGGGAGGAAUACCAGUGGCGAAGGCGGCCUUCUGGACUGACACUGACGCUGAGGUGCGAAAGCGUGGGUAGCAAACAGGAUUAGAUACCCUAGUAGUC
Molecule: ribosomal RNA, 465 nt
Filed under: Vreelandella stevensii
Lineage: Bacteria; Pseudomonadati; Pseudomonadota; Gammaproteobacteria; Oceanospirillales; Halomonadaceae
Description: partial 16S ribosomal RNA
Rfam family: Bacterial small subunit ribosomal RNA
Source: RNAcentral